Hibiscus syriacus is the source of this 462-nucleotide long non-coding RNA. RefSeq lists it as uncharacterized. The record is from RefSeq and is a predicted model, not a curated record. The transcript is spliced from 3 exons. NCBI's taxonomy places the organism in Eukaryota, Viridiplantae, Streptophyta, Magnoliopsida, Malvales, Malvaceae.
CCUACUGUCAUGGAUGCACCACACUUUAACAAAGGGAAGGUGGAAACAGAGUUGGAAAAUUUGCAGAAAGAGAACCAAAGGCUUAGAUUAUUGUUAGAAGCAAUGAGCAGCAAGUAUAAGGUGCUUCACGAAGCCUAUGUCCAAGAAUCAAACAAGGGAGCAAGGCCUCAAGUUGCUAAGGCGUCACAUGUUUUUGUGAAAACGGACCCUAGAGACAAGCUACUUUUCUUAGCAUUACUGUGUGUAACAGCUAGAUUUUCAGAUAGUUAAAGAUGGUUUUCAAUGGAGGAAAUAUGGCCAGAAAGUUACUAAAAACAAACCCUCACCCCGAGCUUAUUUCAAGUGCUCUGUGGCUCCUGGAUGUCCGGUCAAAAAGAAGGUUCAGCGAUGCGUGGAGGAUGAAUUGUGAUGGCAACAUAUGGACAGCACAAUCAUGAUGUUUGUUCUACAUCACCAGGAGGA